Molecule: long non-coding RNA, 1496 nt
Organism: Drosophila ananassae
Lineage: Eukaryota; Metazoa; Arthropoda; Insecta; Diptera; Drosophilidae
Exons: 2
Source: RefSeq, a predicted model, not a curated record
UGUGUGCUGGGAUAGAAAUAAUAAAACCCAAAAACGAAACAGUGAGGUCGAGGAAGAGAUUCGAGUUAAACGUUUAUUAUUCACCAGCGGAUUUCUCAGGGGCCCAUUAUCCCGUGCCCCUCCCCUCCCCCCUUCCAAGCUGAUGCCCAUGUCUUUUUAUGGACUAGCUGUGGGCGUACGUGUGAUCCCACCCACUACUCCCCACCCCCACUCCUUCCGCACCCCUCGCAAAACAAAAACAAACAAAUCGCCGAUCGCUGGCAAUUCAAUUCACUUUUGGAUAGACCAAGGCAGCAAACAUUGAGUCAACGUCAACGCGGCGUAUGCGUAAUAUCAAGGGGCAACGCUCCGCUCCGUUCCCGAAGGAUCGCCAGGAAUGCGCCUGGCUAAUUGGAACGAGCAUGAAGCAUUAUGUAUAGCCCCGAUUUCCGGAACCCAGCCAGCAUGAUUAUAUUAGGCGCCUACCCCUCAUAAUCAUUAUAUUCACUGCACAAUGACACACAUACCGGACCGAUCCAAAGAAAAGGACAGGCAUCCGAGGGGUGGCCAGGGGCAGAAGAGCUAUGAACACAAUGUAAAGCAAGCCAGCACGGUGCUCUAUAUAUAUAAUGCCGAUUUCGUGUAUACAGACGCACACAGUGAUAUUUUUAGUAUAAACAACAGAUCUUCGCCGCAUAUAUAAAAAGUACGUAUACCACAUACAUACUCGUCUUUAAAUCCGAAUACAUAUAGAAUAUAAGCAUAUAGAAUAUAAAGAGAUCUUGGCUAUGACUGGGAAUGAAUGAGUGAACGGGCCAACUUACAAUACACAGACCUAAAAAGAAGUCCUCAACCUCAAUAUCCCUUAAACUUUUCAUUAAUAUAAAAUAUUAUGAUCAGUAAUAAUAUUAUAAUUCCUAAUACUAAGAGUCUAUUAACUAUCCAUUAAUAGGGAAACUUUUCUCCAAGUGUACGCAUUAAAAGAAAUUUACAAAUAACACAAAAGUAGAGCAAUACCAGCAAGGAAAUCUCUGGUGAGUAGAACUCUCGCCACAAACACAAAGGCCACAUAAGAAUCCAACAUUCUCCCGAUCUCUCCGAUUGAGCGACAGAACGUGCGAUUCAGGUGGUGCCCAUCCAUCCCGUCCAACCCAUCCAUGUCUAUUUGAGUUCUUCUCGCACAACCCCAACUACAAUCUCCCCGAGAGAGAUUUAUUUUGGCCCAUUGAAAAGCGAACGUACGAGUAACUACAUAUACGAGGUGUGUUCAAAAAUUUCAAUGGAAUCCCCUCUUUCGUUUGGUUGUGAGAGACGUAAAGGUUACAGGUUGUUUUGCGUGCUCGGCGAUCAUCGCUAUUUUUGACCAAAAGAACCGUCACAUGAGCAUCGCUCAAGAGCUGUUGAAUGACAUCAACGACGACCCAGAUUUACUCAAAAGGGUCAUAACUGGUGACGAAUCAUGGGUAUAUGGUUAUGAUAUCGAAACCAAAGCCCAAUCGUCCCAAUGGAAGAGCAAC